This 339-nucleotide long non-coding RNA is filed under the name Triticum aestivum (bread wheat). Its description in RNAcentral is "long non-coding RNA (TAES_LNC001880)". Lineage: Eukaryota; Viridiplantae; Streptophyta; Magnoliopsida; Poales; Poaceae. The record is from RNAcentral.
AUGGUUCUUGUCUUCUUGAAGUUCCAUGGCACAUGCUCCCUCCUGAAUCCCAGAAACGAGUUAAUGCCCAUGUACAGCCCACAUCCGACCUCUGCACACAUACACAGAAAGAAACAAUUCGUGUUAUAAUUAGUUUAGCUGUAAUCAAUGAUUAUUACCACAGUUAACAAGAAAGAAGAUGUAAUCCCUGCAGAUAAACAGGUUAUACCAACCUUUUUGCAGAUUCUUCUAUUCUAGCAAACACCAUACAGGCAAGUUCCUGGAUUGCAAUAACACCAAUAUUAGGAAUAUCUGAUAAACAACACAACUAAUUGGUCAUUUCAGAAAACAUCAGCCACA